Molecule: microRNA precursor, 103 nt
Filed under: Marmota monax (woodchuck)
Lineage: Eukaryota; Metazoa; Chordata; Mammalia; Rodentia; Sciuridae
Source: RNAcentral
AGUGGUAUAGCUGGGUCAAAUAGUGGUUUUAUUUCCAGUGUUCUGAGGAAUAGCCAUACUGCUUUCCAUAGUGGUUUCACCAAUUUGCAGUUCCACCAGCAAU